GAUCCUGGCUCAGAAUCAACGCUGGCGGCGUGCCUAACACAUGCAAGUCGAACGAGAAAGGGCUUUCGGGCCUGAGUAAAGUGGCGCACGGGUGAGUAACACGUGACUAACCUACCCUUGAGCGGGGGAUAACCUAGGGAAACCUGGGCUAAUACCGCAUAACACCUACGGGUCAAAGCGAGCAAUCGCACUUAAGGAGGGGGUCGCGGCGGAUUAGCUAGUUGGUGAGGUAAUGGCUCACCAAGGCGAUGAUCUGUAUCCGGCCUGAGAGGGCGCACGGACACACUGGAACUGAAACACGGUCCAGACUCCUACGGGAGGCAGCAGUGGGGAAUUUUGCGCAAUGGGGGAAACCCUGACGCAGCAACGCCGCGUGGAGGAUGAAAUCCCUUGGGAUGUAAACUCCUUUCGAUCGGGACGAUAAUGACGGUACCGGAAGAAGAAGCCCCGGCUAACUUCGUGCCAGCAGCCGCGGUAAUACGAGGGGGGCAAGCGUUGUUCGGAAUUAUUGGGCGUAAAGGGUGCGUAGGCGGUUUCGUAAGUCUUAUGUGAAAUCUAUGGGCUCAACCCAUAGUCUGCAUGGGAAACUGCGAGGCUUGAGAGUGGGAGAGGUGAGUGGAAUUUCCGGUGUAGCGGUGAAAUGCGUAGAUAUCGGAAGGAACACCUGUGGCGAAAGCGGCUCACUGGACCAUUUCUGACGCUGAUGCACGAAAGCUAGGGGAGCAAACAG
RNAcentral lists this ribosomal RNA (730 nucleotides) under uncultured Acidobacteriota bacterium. RNAcentral's name for it is "bacterial SSU rRNA". It matches the Rfam family "Bacterial small subunit ribosomal RNA", at positions 15 to 775 of the family's 1533-position model. Lineage: Bacteria; Pseudomonadati; Acidobacteriota. The record is from RNAcentral.